AAUAAAAGUAAUCUACAGUAAAUGUAUCCCAGGUCCUUAUUCAAUGAUAAAACCCCCCACAGUGCAGUGAAAAUAAAUUGUUAGUGAGUCUCAGUAGUGUCUACAAAGAGGGUACUAUCUCUUGGAUUAAUAUGAAGUCCCUUCCAACAAUUCUCAGCGUUAUUUGCUGGAAAACAGCAAGAGGAGCAGCAGCUUUCAUGUGUUUGGGUUUUUUUUCCCUUGCAGGCACGUCUAGGCAUUGUCACUCUGGUCUGAAUCAGACCUGUCUGGGCAUUCACCCUCCUGUCACAGAAGAAGCAAAGGAUGCAGCAAGGCUCAGAGUAAGCAGCUCCAGGUGUCAACUGAGCAAAGUCCAGAUCAGCUGCAGUUAUUCCAGAGUAUGCGUCCACAUGCAGAAUAUUCCAGAACAGGUGAGCUGUCCUUCCACUGUCCACUUCUCUUGUGGGUGAAUAUGGGAUGUUGGAUUUUGGAAGUGGGGAGAAAUCCACCAGUUUCAGCAGUACUGGUCAGACCUUGUCCCAACAGCCCGGGGAGGUUAUGCUUUGCCUGGGCGGUGCCACCUACAGGGUGUCCUGGUGGCUGCUGCUGUGCAUGGGAUUGCUGUGCAGCCCCAUUUCCCAGUGGGAUUCCCCAUGGGGUGUCCCCCAGGGGCUGCGGCAGGGAGAAAUGGGGUGAGAGACAGGCCGAGACAGCUGAAGAGCCGAGCUGUGGCCAGACCUCACAAGGCUCCUCUCUCUGAUUUAAGGACAGGCUGCCCUAUGAACACUGAUCUGGGUCUCCUGGGAGCAAACUCAGAGAAUCCUGCUGAUUGCUCUGGACAUGAGAUUCUGAUGGGAAUACCUGGCCAAUGCAACAUUUAUUAACGCACCCAUCUCAGGUGUUAUUCACCCCUGAACCUGUACGAGCCAAUGUCACUUCACAAUUCCCUCUUUGCAGACAAAUCCUAAACCUGUAUGGAUCCAGGGUUGCCCUUACCAUUCCUGGAGCUCUCCACUUCCUGCUUUUCCUGUUGCUUUCUGCAGCCAGCUUCACAAAACCCAAACAGGAAUAAUGGGUAAAAUAAAUAUUUCCAGCUGAGGAUUCUGCUUCCA
RNAcentral lists this long non-coding RNA (1091 nucleotides) under Lonchura striata (white-rumped munia). RNAcentral's name for it is "domestica (Bengalese finch) lncRNA (ENSLSDG00000017803.1)". Lineage: Eukaryota; Metazoa; Chordata; Aves; Passeriformes; Estrildidae. The record is from RNAcentral.